Long non-coding RNA from Cryptotermes secundus, 805 nucleotides. RefSeq lists it as uncharacterized. The record is from RefSeq and is a predicted model, not a curated record. NCBI's taxonomy places the organism in Eukaryota, Metazoa, Arthropoda, Insecta, Blattodea, Kalotermitidae. The transcript has 4 exons.
AAUAGGAAAAAAUAUUGAGGUCAUUGAUAAUCCAGAAUAAAGAAACCUGAAUCAUUCCCUUUGGUACUGAUCUCUGUGUAUGUCGAGUAGAACAGUAAUUCCAGGAAAUUAGGUGAUACAGUGCAGUGGAUGUUAGGGUUAGGUAGUAAUGCAUGCAUCUAGGGUGCAGCUGAUUGCGAAACCAUUUGAUGGACAGUAAGUUUGAUACACCGAGAACAAGUCAAGGAAUUCAAGGCCGGCCAGUUUUGAUUCGCUCUACUUAUGAUGUUGGUCGUAUUCUGUCUGGAUAGGAUCUGGACUCUGGAUUAUGGCUAGCGCUGAAACUUCACUCUUCAGGUACCAGUAGUUCUAUGGCGUCCAGGCUUGGCCUCCGAUAAAUAUUGUGCCGGUGACAGGUGCUACCUCCGUAGUCGACUUUUUAUUGACGGUCUCGAUUCGAUUUUGUGGCCAUUUUGAUUAAUAAUCGAGCAACCGACCCCAUACGUUUCUUGUAAUCCGGUUGGAUCUAUCUGAAGAAUACACCUGCUGUAAUCUGUCUUUCUCAGUGUUUAAGUCUGAUUAUCCACAAAACAGAAUAUUGACAUGACACCUGAGAACCAGAAUAAUGAGACCAGAAGAAAUGGCUUUUGAAAGGGAACGGCCCGAUAGACAACACGUGAUAGCUGAUUUCCGCAGCAACGAACAGGAACGCAGCAAUAAGGGAACUGUUGGAAACGGUGUUUUCUACCUUGUCCGUGCCGAGGCUUUAUAAGAGGAUCCCACGUCGGUUGCGCUACCGAAGCAGGAGGUUCCCAAAAAAAUCAAU